Molecule: ribosomal RNA, 364 nt
Filed under: uncultured bacterium
Lineage: Bacteria
Description: partial 16S ribosomal RNA
Rfam family: Bacterial small subunit ribosomal RNA
Source: RNAcentral
CCUACGGGUGGCAGCAGUGAGGAAUAUUGGUCAAUGGGCGAGAGCCUGAACCAGCCAAGCCGCGUGAAGGAUGAAGGAUCUAUGGUUUGUAAACUUCUUUUAUAUGGGAAUAAAGUGAGGAACGUGUUUCUUUUUGUAUGUACCAUAUGAAUAAGGAUCGGCUAACUCCGUGCCAGCAGCCGCGGUAAUACGGAGGAUGCGAGCGUUAUCCGGAUUUAUUGGGUAUAAAGGGUGCGUAGGUGGAUAAUUAAGUCAGCGGUGAAAGUUUGGGGCUCAACCAUAAAAUUGCCGUUGACACUGGUUAGCUAGAGAAUAUUUGAGGUAGGCGGAAUGCGUGGUGUAGCGGUGAAAUGCGUAGAUAUCA